UACGGAGGGGGCUAGCGUUGUUCGGAAUUACUGGGCGUAAAGCGCACGUAGGCGGCUUUGUAAGUUAGAGGUGAAAGCCCGGGGCUCAACUCCGGAAUUGCCUUUAAGACUGCAUCGCUAGAAUUGUGGAGAGGUAAGUGGAAUUCCGAGUGUAGAGGUGAAAUUCGUAGAUAUUCGGAAGAACACCAGUGGCGAAGGCGACAUACUGGUCCGUUACUGACGCUGAGGCUCGAAAGCGUGGGGAGCAAACAGG
RNAcentral lists this ribosomal RNA (253 nucleotides) under uncultured bacterium. Its description in RNAcentral is "partial 16S ribosomal RNA". It matches the Rfam family "Bacterial small subunit ribosomal RNA", at positions 524 to 776 of the family's 1533-position model. The record is from RNAcentral.